ACCAGACUCCUACGGGAGGCAGCAGUGGGGAAUAUUGGGCAAUGGGCGCAAGCCCGACCCAGCAACGCCGCGUGAAGGAAGAAGGCUUUCGGGUUGUAAACUUCUUUUAUCAGGGACGAAGCAAGUGACGGUACCUGAUGAAUAAGCCACGGCUAACUACGUGCCAGCAGCCGCGGUAAUACGUAGGUGGCAAGCGUUGUCCGGAUUUACUGGGUGUAAAGGGCGUGUAGCCGGGCUGACAAGUCAGAUGUGAAAUUCCGGGGCUCAACCCCGGACCUGCAUUUGAAACUGUUGGUCUUGAGUAUCGGAGAGGCAGGCGGAAUUCCUAGUGUAGCGGUGAAAUGCGUAGAUAUACGGAGGAACACCAGUGGCGAAGGCGGAUUGCUGGACAGUAACUGACGCUGAGGCGCGAAAGCGUGGGGAGCAAACAGGAUUAGAUACCCCCGUAU
RNAcentral lists this ribosomal RNA (449 nucleotides) under uncultured bacterium. RNAcentral describes it as "bacterial SSU rRNA". It matches the Rfam family "Bacterial small subunit ribosomal RNA", at positions 330 to 793 of the family's 1533-position model. The record is from RNAcentral.